UACAGGGGGGGCAAGCGUUGUUCGGAAUUACUGGGCGUAAAGGGUCUGUAGGUGGCCAACUAAGUCAGACGUGAAAUCCCUCAGCUUAACUGGGGAACUGCGUCUGAUACUGGAUGGCUUGAGUGUGGGAGAGGAAUGCGGAAUUCCAGGUGUAGCGGUGAAAUGCGUAGAUAUCUGGAGGAACACCGGUGGCGAAGGCGGCAUUCUGGACCAUAACUGACGCUGAGGAGCGAAAGCGUGGGGAGCGAACAGG
Molecule: ribosomal RNA, 253 nt
Filed under: uncultured bacterium
Lineage: Bacteria
Description: partial 16S ribosomal RNA
Rfam family: Bacterial small subunit ribosomal RNA
Source: RNAcentral